Chiroxiphia lanceolata (lance-tailed manakin) is the source of this 919-nucleotide long non-coding RNA. RefSeq lists it as uncharacterized. The record is from RefSeq and is a predicted model, not a curated record. The transcript is spliced from 3 exons. NCBI's taxonomy places the organism in Eukaryota, Metazoa, Chordata, Aves, Passeriformes, Pipridae.
GACACCCAGAGGAGCCCCGGCGUCGGAGAGAGCCCCGAGCCGCCGUGAAUUUCUUCACAUUCAAUUUCCUUCUGACAACAGAUGUUCCUGCUCUAGUCAUAGAUAUCUUGGUCUGAGAAGCUUGAGGCUCCUGACAUACAGGUAUAUCCAGGAAGAGCCAUUACGAAAAGUCUGACCUUUAACAAUACUGAAAAAACAUUCUAGCUAUUUAACCUCACUGAUUAAACAUUUCUUACUGAAGCCAGGCCUCAAGUACCUUUUCUCAUGAUGGAAGACUAAGGGUGGAGGUGAAAAAAUAUCCGAAUUCUCUUUUUCCUCUUUCUUGGACCACAGAUUUCACUGUAAACUCAAUUUUGUCAAAGGUAUUUCAAGGUAACUUUUUUUCAGAACUGCCCCUGUGUACAACUCAUGAUCUUCACAACAGAAAUACCAUUCUGUAGAAAUGGAACCAAGUCCACUUAAAACAGCCCCCAAGCUUGAGAGCUGUAUUAGAACCUUCUGGUGUCAGUCUUGCACAGAACAAAAACACCUGAAGAAAAUCUCAGCUGAAGAGUGAUUGUACAUGCAGGGAAAAUAUCAGAAGCGCCAGUGCUGGACAGGAAAUUGCACAAAUUUGCAGGUAUGAUUUGUCCUGCACAAUUCCAGUGCCAGACAUUCAUUUCCAUUUUGUAUUUCUGCCACCAGAAUACAGAAGCAGAGAGCAAUCCUAAGCACAUUAUCCCUAUAACUCACAGAAAGCAGUGUUUCACUGACCCCUUUAAACUCAGUACCAGGCACUUUCUAUAUAUAAGAGAAGUUUACACGCAAUAGCUGAAUAAAAUCUGAGUUCCAGAAGUUGAGUUAGAGACCCAGAGCAAAAGGGUAUUUCAUGACCAGGAUUCACUGCUGCUGAACCAAGAGCUCAAGCUGAAGGAUAUAA